AUUCCCUGUUCUAAACCCUAGCCUCCCCUUCCUCUUCUACAUUAGUCAUCGCAGCCAUCGCUAAAUAAGAUUAAGAUCUCGAUCAACCAUUACAGACGCACACAUCAAAAACCCUAAAAGCUCCCACGUUCUUCUUCAAUAGCCUGACAAAGGAUUCCAAAAUCAAACCGAUUCACUUCCAGAGGAAGAUGGUGACGGUGGUGGUCACCUGAAGAGGGAAGACGACAACGACAUGGGUUGAUUUAGGGUUUCUCAAUCGGUGGUAUUGUGAUGGCUGUGGUUCUAGGCAAUGGUGAAAGGGCGGCGGCUAGGGUUCCACCAACACAUAAAUCUGACCGAUUUUGGUUUCGGUAGGUACUGGUAAGUCAUAGCCAAGUCCCUCCUCCGUUCCGCCUCCACCUCCGUCAGAGCAUCAGCUCCUAGAAUCUCCGACUGUACACGCUCCUUCCGCUCUCGAAAACCCCUUUCACAUCGCAUUUUCAGAUAACAACUGUUGAAGAGGCAAAAAAGUUCUAUCCACUAUUCGGGCUUGGAGCCAAUGUUACAUUAAUAUUCUCGGGUCGUACGGUGAAAUACGUCUCAAAUAUGUGAAAACAUCUGGGUCUGGGAGUUGAUGGAUGGAUUAUUUCUUUAAAAUACAUGAUGAGUAUUGUGGUGUUAAUGGGCCUAGCAAUUUGCAGUCUUUAUUGGUUGGUCAAUACAUUUGUUCCUCUUCCUACCCGUAG
Helianthus annuus (common sunflower) is the source of this 725-nucleotide long non-coding RNA. RefSeq lists it as uncharacterized. The transcript is spliced from 4 exons. The record is from RefSeq and is a predicted model, not a curated record. Lineage: Eukaryota; Viridiplantae; Streptophyta; Magnoliopsida; Asterales; Asteraceae.